ACGCUCGACACCUACCGGGAGGCGAGCGAGGUAGGGGGAAUAUUGGGCAAUGGGCGCAAGCCUGACCCAGCAACGCCGCGUGAAGGAAGAAGGCCCUCGGGUUGUAAACUUCUUUUAACAGGGACGAAGCAAGUGACGGUACCUGUUGAAUAAGCCACGGCUAACUACGUGCCAACAGCCGCGGUAAUCUGAGCGGGCUGGCAAGGC
RNAcentral lists this ribosomal RNA (207 nucleotides) under uncultured bacterium. RNAcentral describes it as "partial 16S ribosomal RNA". It matches the Rfam family "Bacterial small subunit ribosomal RNA", at positions 328 to 539 of the family's 1533-position model. The record is from RNAcentral.